UUGAAGGCAGGUUUUCAGUUU
Molecule: non-coding RNA, 21 nt
Filed under: Caenorhabditis elegans
Lineage: Eukaryota; Metazoa; Nematoda; Chromadorea; Rhabditida; Rhabditidae
Source: RNAcentral